Long non-coding RNA from Lathyrus oleraceus (garden pea), 1104 nucleotides. RefSeq lists it as uncharacterized. Lineage: Eukaryota; Viridiplantae; Streptophyta; Magnoliopsida; Fabales; Fabaceae. The transcript is spliced from 3 exons. The record is from RefSeq and is a predicted model, not a curated record.
GCAACUCAAUCUAAACCUAGGUCACAAGCUUCUUCAAGAACUUCUAAAACGCCACGCCGUUCCAUCGGACUCCACCGCGGUAGCUUUAUCACCGAUGAAUUCAUUCCAUCGGCUCAACGCUUAGUGGUUCGAAAUUAAGGUAGGGUAGAGCAACAAAUUCUGAAAUUGAAAUCCUGUUACGCAUCUAAACCUCAACCUCGAGUCAACUUGCGCACGUAAAAAUGAAGAGGAAGAGCAACAAAUCGUGGAUUGCAAAAAAGCGUAGGAGUAGAACUCACCAGAUCGAUGUGGCGUCGUAUGGAUAACGCGAUCUCGCGACCUCACCCUUGGUGCUUCAUCACGUUCGCAUCUCAGUGCAACCACCAAGUCUUCUUCGGCUACGACGUCGCCCGGUUUUUCAAUCCUCUUCGUGUUCACACACUUCAACGAAGUUCCUAGCACCGCACUUAAUAAUUCGACGGUGGCUUCAUGAUUUAACCAGGCGCGACCUCAACAACCGCUAACGAUAUUGCGACGUUGACGAUAUGAAGAGAGCUGUAUAUCAGAGCAGGAAAGACUACUCAUCCGAUUUGAAUUUGAUGUCGAGCAGAUUAGCGGAAAUCUGCAGAAAGAGAUUUGUAGAGAGUGCGAAUUGAGUCACGGUUGCAGGGUUUUGAUACAGAAUUGAAGGGCGAAGGUGGAAUGAAGAAGAAGAUUCAAGGAGAUGGAUGCAGAACUGCAGAAAGAGGGUGAAGGUUGAAGAAAAAUGAGGAUGAAGAAUCCAUUGAAAAAACUGAGGAGAAUGGUUACACUGCAGAUCGAUGGUUACGUUGCAGGCUGGUGUAUUAGGGCAAAUGAUAGCAAGGUCGUUGAUAGCAUGGCAGCAAGAAAGAUGCUUGGAGUUUUGGAUGUUUGAAAGUCGUGGAGCAUUGGCGUAUGCUAAGGACAAGUUUCAAGUGGAUUUUUAUUGUUGUACUUAGAAUUCAAAGUGUUUUGUACUAGGAUUGUAAAGUGAAUGUUAGAAAUGAAUGUAUGAAUUUGUGUUAAUGUAUGGAAAUGACAAUGUAAUGGAUAUAUUUAGAAAUUGACUAGUUGUAAUGACAUGGUUUGAUUUAUGUUUAGAAA